UAAGUCAGGCAAAACGAGUUUUCAUGUUGGCGUAUCCCUAUUUUCCCUCUUAUAUUCGAAAACUGUCGUUUCGGCUAUAAGUUAAACACGGUUUACGUAUUCCUAUGUCUUUUAAUACAUCCAAAUAUAUCAUUCGCUGAUAUAGACAAUCCAUUUUCGUCAGUACCAGGUUAUUGGAACAUGUCAACAUGUCCAUCUUUCAAUUUUUGAUUCUGUUGGUGUGUCUGUCCUUGGUUUGUUUGCUUUCUUCGGAAUCGAAUGACUUCAUUAUCAUUGGAAAAUAUGCCAAUCGAAACUGUAGGAAAAGAGUUUUUGGCUUUGCUUCUUCAUAAAAUAUCGUUG
This is a long non-coding RNA of Centruroides sculpturatus (bark scorpion), 342 nucleotides long. RefSeq lists it as uncharacterized. NCBI's taxonomy places the organism in Eukaryota, Metazoa, Arthropoda, Arachnida, Scorpiones, Buthidae. The record is from RefSeq and is a predicted model, not a curated record. The transcript has 3 exons.